Molecule: ribosomal RNA, 922 nt
Filed under: uncultured Bacteroidota bacterium
Lineage: Bacteria; Pseudomonadati; Bacteroidota
Description: bacterial SSU rRNA
Rfam family: Bacterial small subunit ribosomal RNA
Source: RNAcentral
GGAUCCAGACUUUGAUCCUGGCUCAGGAUGAACGCUAGCUACAGGCUUAACACAUGCAAGUCGAGGGGAAACGACAUCGAAAGCUUGCUUUUGAUGGGCGUCGACCGGCGCACGGGUGAGUAACGCGUAUCCAACCUGCCACCACUUGGGGAUAACCUUGCGAAAGUAAGACUAAUACCCAAUGAUAUCUCUAGAAGACAUCUGAAAGAGAUUAAAGAUUUAUCGGUGAUGGAUGGGGAUGCGUCUGAUUAGCUUGUUGGCGGGGUAACGGCCCACCAAGGUAACGAUCAGUAGGGGUUCUGAGAGGAAGGUCCCCCACAUUGGAACUGAGACACGGUCCAAACUCCUACGGGAGGCAGCAGUGAGGAAUAUUGGUCAAUGGGCAAGAGCCUGAACCAGCCAAGUAGCGUGCAGGAUGACGGCCCUAUGGGUUGUAAACUGCUUUUAUAAGGGAAUAAAGUGAGUCUCGUGAGACUUUUUGCAUGUACCUUAUGAAUAAGGACCGGCUAAUUCCGUGCCAGCAGCCGCGGUAAUACGGAAGGUCCGGGCGUUAUCCGGAUUUAUUGGAUUUAAAGGGAGCGUAGGCCGGAGAUUAAGCGUGUUGUGAAAUGUAGACGCUCAACGUCUGCUCUGCAGCGCGAACUGGUUUCCUUGAGUACGCACAAAGUGGGCGGAAUUCGUGGUGUAGCGGUGGAAUGCUUAGAUAUCACGAAGAACUCCGAUUGCGAAGGCAGCUCACUGGAGCGCAACUGACGCUGAAGCUCGAAAGUGCGGGUAUCGAACAGGAUUAGAUACCCUGGAGGUCCGCACGGUAAACGAUGGAUGCCCGCUGUUUGUCUGAAUAGGUCAGCGGCCAAGCGAAGGCAUUAAGCAUCCCACCUGGGGAGUACGCCGGCAACGGUGCAACUCAAAUGAAUUGACG